This is a non-coding RNA of Echinostoma caproni, 84 nucleotides long. The record is from Rfam. Lineage: Eukaryota; Metazoa; Platyhelminthes; Trematoda; Plagiorchiida; Echinostomatidae.
GGCCUCGUAGCUAAGUUGGUUGGGCGCGCGUUGUACAAAAGAGUAGGCGGCGUCCAUGCGUGGGUUCAAAUCCCACCGAGGCUA